AGAACUUAGCAGAGAUGCUUUGGUGCCCUUCGGGAACUCUGAGACAGGUGCUGCAUGGCUGUCGUCAGCUCGUGUUGUGAAAUGUUGGGUUAAGUCCCGCAACGAGCGCAACCCUUUAUCCUUUGUUGCCAGCGGGUUAUGCCGGGAACUCAAAGGAGACUGCCAGUGAUAAACUGGAGGAAGGUGGGGAUGACGUCAAGUCAUCAUGGCCCUUACGAGUAGGGCUACACACGUGCUACAAUGGCGCAUACAAAGAGAAGCGACCUCGCGAGAGCAAGCGGACCUCAUAAAGUGCGUCGUAGUCCGGAUUGGAGUCUGCAACUCGACUCCAUGAAGUCGGAAUCGCUAGUAAUCGUAGAUCAGAAUGCUACGGUGAAUACGUUCCCGGGCCUUGUACACACCGCCCGUCACACCAUGGGAGUGGGUUGCAAAAGAAGUAGGUAGCUUAACCUUCGGGAGGGCGCUUACCACUUUGUGAUUCAUGACUGGGGUGAAGUCGUAACAAGGUAAGCGUAGUGCU
RNAcentral lists this ribosomal RNA (520 nucleotides) under uncultured bacterium. RNAcentral's name for it is "bacterial SSU rRNA". It matches the Rfam family "Bacterial small subunit ribosomal RNA", at positions 992 to 1509 of the family's 1533-position model. The record is from RNAcentral.